GGGAAGCCGGUCCGAAUCCGGCGCUGACCCGCAACCGUAGCCCUCGCUCCGCGAGGGGAGCCGGAACGCC
This 70-nucleotide non-coding RNA is filed under the name Aeromicrobium sp. Lineage: Bacteria; Bacillati; Actinomycetota; Actinomycetes; Propionibacteriales; Nocardioidaceae. The record is from RNAcentral.